UCGAAACCUGCACGAGCAGAGCGACCCGCGAACUCGUUUACCGACCCGGGGGUCGGGGCCUCGCCCCCGCCCCCCAAACGCCGGGAUGCCCUCCCGCCCCACCCGGGGCGCGGUCGCCCCCGGCGCCAACGAACCCCGGCGCGGAUUGCGCCAAGGACCAUGUANGCUGAGCGUGUCCCGCUGCCCCGGUCACCCGGCGGGAGCGGCGACUGCGCGNUGUAAUCGAAAAAACGACUCUCGGCAACGGAUAUCUCGGCUCUCGCAUCGAUGAAGAACGUAGCGAAAUGCGAUACUUGGUGUGAAUUGCAGAAUCCCGUGAACCAUCGAGUCUUUGAACGCAAGUUGCGCCCGAAGCCGUUCGGCCGAGGGCACGUCUGCCUGGGCGUCACGCAUCGCGUUGCCCCCCACCCCGCNAGGGGAGGGGGCGGAUGUUGGCCUCCCGUGCGCCNGUGAGGCGCGCGGCUGGCCUAAACGAGGAGCCCGCGGCGAGGGAGCCGCGACGAUUGGUGGUACGCAUCGCGUCGCGCGCCCCGCAGCCUUCCGGCGCUCGCAGGACCCGAGGGGACAGCCCCCGAAAACCCUUGCGACCCCAGGUCAGGCGGGACUACCCGCUGANUUUA
RNAcentral lists this ribosomal RNA (620 nucleotides) under Antigonon guatimalense. Its description in RNAcentral is "eukaryotic LSU rRNA". The stretch from base 233 to 388 matches the Rfam family "5.8S ribosomal RNA". The record is from RNAcentral. Lineage: Eukaryota; Viridiplantae; Streptophyta; Magnoliopsida; Caryophyllales; Polygonaceae.